Molecule: ribosomal RNA, 253 nt
Filed under: uncultured bacterium
Lineage: Bacteria
Description: partial 16S ribosomal RNA
Rfam family: Bacterial small subunit ribosomal RNA
Source: RNAcentral
UACAGAGGGGGCAAGCGUUGUUCGGAAUUACUGGGCGUAAAGGGCGCGUAGGCGGCCUUCUAAGUCGAACGUGAAAUCCCCGGGCUCAACCCGGGAACUGCGUCCGAUACUGGAAGGCUUGAAUCCGGGAGAGGGAUGCGGAAUUCCAGGUGUAGCAGUGAAAUGCGUAGAUAUGUGGAGGAACACCGAUGGCGAAGGCAGCCCCCUGGGUCAAGACUGACGCUCAUGCACGAAAGCGUGGGGAGCAAACAGG